RNAcentral lists this ribosomal RNA (328 nucleotides) under uncultured bacterium. RNAcentral describes it as "bacterial SSU rRNA". It matches the Rfam family "Bacterial small subunit ribosomal RNA", at positions 355 to 707 of the family's 1533-position model. The record is from RNAcentral.
UGGGGAUCGUGUCGCAAUGGGCGAAGACCUGACGCAGCCAUGCCGCGUGGAUGAUGAAGGUCUUAGGAUUGUAAAUACCUUUCACCGGUGAAGCUGUGGCCGGAGAAGAAGCCCCGGCUAACUUCGUGCCAGCAGCCGCGGUAAUACGAAGGGGGCUAGCGUUGCUCGGAAUUACUGGGCGUAAAGGGCGCGUAGGCGGACAUUUAAGUCAGGGGUGAAACCCCAGAGCUCAACUCUGGAACUGCCUUUGAUACUGGAUGUCUUGAGUGUGAGAGAGGUAUGUGGAACUCCGAGUGUAGAGGUGAAAUUCGUAGAUAUUCGGAAGAAC